UACGGAGGAUGUAAGCGUUAUCCGGAUUUAUUGGGUUUAAAGGGUGCGCAGGUUGUUUGAUAAGUCAGUGGUGAAAGUCUGUCGCUUAACGGUAGGAUUGCCAUUGAUACUGUUGGGCUUGAAUAUGGAUGAGGUAGGCGGAAUGUGUAGUGUAGCGGUGAAAUGCAUAGAUAUUACACAGAACACCGAUUGCGAAGGCAGCUUACUAAUCCAUCAUUGACGCUGAGGCACGAAAGCGCGGGGAGUCAAACAGGAUUA
This 258-nucleotide ribosomal RNA is filed under the name uncultured prokaryote. Its description in RNAcentral is "partial 16S ribosomal RNA". It matches the Rfam family "Bacterial small subunit ribosomal RNA", at positions 524 to 780 of the family's 1533-position model. The record is from RNAcentral.